CCGCCUCCUCUCUAAGGUUAUGCUAGGAAGGUUCAGGCGGUGACGUAACUUUCCGCUUUAGGUGGCCUUCCGCUCCGGCGGCUCGGGAGGGGGUUCGGGGAACAUCGAGUAGCGUCCCCGAUCCCUCCGCCUUUGGAAGUGCCAUGAGAUCGGUUAGCUACGUGCAGCGCGUGGCGCUGGAGUUUAGCGGGAGCCUCUUCCCGCACGCAAUCUGCCUCGGGGACGUAGACAACGACACGUUAAAUGAACUUGUGGUGGGAGACACCAGCGGGAAGCUGUCUGUGUAUAAGAAUGAUGAUAGCCGGCCAUGGCUUACCUGUUCCUGCCAGGGAAUGCUGACCUGCGUUGGGGUUGGAGAUGUAUGUAAUAAAGGAAAGAACCUGUUGGUGGCAGUGAGUGCUGAAGGCUGGUUUCACUUGUUUGACCUGACACCUGCCAAGGUCCUGGAUGCUUCUGGACACCAUGAGACACUAAUGGGGGAGGAGCACCGUCCAGUCUUCAAGCAGCACAUCCCUGCCAACACCAAGGUCAUGCUGAUCAGCGACAUCGAUGGAGAUGGGUUUUGCGAGCUGGUGGUGGGCUACACAGACCGUGUGGUGCGGGCUUUCCGCUGGGAGGAGCUAGGUGAGGGCCCUGAACACCUGACAGGGCAGUUGGUGUCCCUCAAGAAAUGGAUGCUGGAGGGUCAGGUGGACAGUCUCUCGGUGACUCCAGGGCCUCUGGGUGUUCCUGAACUGAUGGUAUCUCAGCCAGGCUGUGCUUACGCAAUUCUACUGUGUUCCUGGAACAAGGAUAUUAAGUCCCCUCCUUCCUCUGAGGGGGCCACAGAGGGUAGUAGGGAGACACCAGCUGCCCGAGAUGUGGUGCUGCACCAGACAUCUGGCCGUAUCCACAACAAGAAUGUCUCCACUCACCUGAUUGGCAACAUCAAACAAGGCCACGGCUCUGAGAGUGGUGGCUCUGGCCUUUUUGCCCUGUGCACCCUGGAUGCCUGCGUCUGCCCCACAGGGACACUGAAGCUCAUGGAGGAGGCAGACAAGCUGCUCUGGUCAGUGCAGGUGGAUCACCAGCUUUUCGCCCUGGAGAAAUUAGAUGUCACGGGCAAUGGGCACGAGGAGGUAGUUGCCUGUGCCUGGGAUGGACAGACGUAUAUUAUCGAUCACAACCGCACUGUCGUCCGCUUCCAAGUGGAUGAAAAUAUCCGUGCCUUUUGUGCAGGCCUGUAUGCCUGCAAAGAGGGCCGCAACAGCCCCUGCCUUGUGUACGUCACGUUCAACCAGAAGAUCUACGUGUACUGGGAGGUGCAGCUGGAGCGGAUGGAGUCCACCAACCUGCUGAAGCUGCUGGAGGCUGAGCCGGAGUACCGCAGCCUGCUGCAGGAGCUGGGCGUGGAUCCUGAGGACCUCCCUGCAACGCGUGCCCUACUUCACCAAACCCUCUACCACCCGGCCCAGCCAACACAGCGCACCCCUACAAGCCUCCAGGAUCCCACUUAGCUGGACCUGCCCUCACAGCUGCACUUUGGGUCAGGCUCCGAGUGUGGGUGCCUUACCUUGAGAGAGAGCAGGGUCUGCAGCCCCAGACAGAAUUCAGGACUCUCGACAUCUGCAGGAACCAUUUGAAAACUGAAGAAGCUGAAGGUGCCCAGUAAUCACUGCUGCCCUCCUCUCAGCCCUCACCCCUUCUCUGCCCCCACGUCCCCCACGCCCCAGCUCUGUGCAUGUCGGCACAGAGCUGGGGACAACCAGAGCAUCUCUAGGGCACCUUGUGCUGGCAAUGGCUGAAAGUCCCUGCCUCUGCCCCACCCAGAAGAGAAAGGUAGAAGAGGUGAGAAUCUGGGCCCUCAAGGAGGGGAGGACUUACCCACCACCUGUGCCGAGCAUGCCACAGUCUUCUGCCCUAGCUGGAGCUCCAGCUGCUCCACCUGGGUUGUGGGCUCAGGUGCCAGGUCCCCAGCUGGGACUUCUGGGACCCUCUUCCCUAGCCUGUGGUUGAGAAGCAAAGGUUAUGGCCACGAGUGCCCCCACCAGCUCACACACUUCCGUUAAUCAGCUGAUGUCCCCAUCUACUAUACUUGGGGUUCUCCUUUAGUGCCUCCACAGGGCCAAAUCCUUAUCUUCUCUGCCAAAAUCUCCUAGCCGUUCUUUUCUUAAAUAACAGCUUUAUUGAAAUAUAUACCCUAAAAUUCACUCUUUUAGAGUGUCCAAUCGGUGGGGUUUAGUAUAUUCACAGAGUUGUGUACCCCUCCCCCACCCCAAACACGUGUUUGGGCCACACUCUUACCCCAGGCGGCUGAGGCAGCCCGCAGAGAUCUGAUUGUGCUGGGUGCCUGUGUCCACGGCCACUCUGAGCAGCUGGUCCUGGCACUGAGGAAGAAGGAUCGUGGUGGAUCAAGUGAAAUAAACUGAAAGUGAAAUAGGCGUCUCUGGAUCAUGCUGUGUGGCUGCUGGGUCUUUAAAACUGAUUUUUGUAUGACUCUUAUGAGUGAGGCAAAAUUGACUCUCAGAUAAAGGAAUCAAACAAGGAAGUGGAACUAUACAUGGUGAGUCCAUAAGUUUGGGAAAGAUCUUGCCAGAAAUGGAGACGUUUGUUUAGAGGAAUCCUUGGGAGGCUGGGGCCUCCUGGCUAGAGAACUCCAGGUUGGGAAUAGAGGAGGGAUGAGAAGGAGACUGGGAUCCCUUGUUGGGAAACUCAGACGUGAGUCACCAAGAUGCCCACUGCUGGAAACCAAGAAAGACAAGUUCAGUUUCUUUGGGUUAUAUAUGAACAUUUUGUUGUACAUGUGAAGAUACACACACACCCCAAGUUUCCUCAUUCCAAACAUUUACUGGACACCUACUAUGCAUGAGAUAUAUUACUGGAAGGCACAUCAAUGAAUGCUGUUCUUUAGGAGUCUAAUGGAGGUAAGUUGUUACUACUAUAUGGUAGGAAGUUUUAAGGUCUAUAAGAGGAUGUGAGCAAAGUGCCUAAAGGUUGAGAGGGAGGAAAGGCUGUUUCUGCCUGGGGAAAUCAGAAAAGGUUUCAAGGUGGAGGUAAUAUCUGAGCUGGGCCUUAAAAGAUUAUAGAAGAAUGUGGACAUAGAAUGAUUGGAAAGCAAGAAGAGAGCUAUCUAGACAGACGAAAUGCUGCACCAAGAUGGAUGGCAGCAGAAGACCAGUGGGCAUUUACUGGUAAUGGUUCAGUAGGGACUGGGUAGCUAAAUGGCUCCAGAGAUGACAAGGCUGUCACCUUGGCACGCACAAGCUUAUUCCAGGAGAGUUGCAUUAUACAUACAUGCACACACCAUUUGUAUAUGUAGAGCACACUGAAGAGUAUUUAGGUAUUCACAUUUAAAUAUUAUACUUUGAUCAAGGAAAGGGGGUAGAGUAACGAUGGUGACAUAUGGAACUGCACAGAUGGAAGAUGGGGCGAGGCAGGGAGGAAAGAAGAUAGAGGUCCCCAUGUUUAGGUCCAGGCUAUGGGGAUGGUGCCUUUUCUUCUUCCUCCCUCCCUUACAAGUCAGGACAGAAAAGAGCCAGCUGCAGGAAGGGUUGUUGAU
Molecule: non-coding RNA, 3538 nt
Organism: Microcebus murinus (gray mouse lemur)
Lineage: Eukaryota; Metazoa; Chordata; Mammalia; Primates; Cheirogaleidae
Source: RefSeq, a predicted model, not a curated record